AAGCAGACGGUGGACGAAGCAAGUAUUCUAAAUUUCUGUAAACUCCAAGGUUCCCCCGGUCUUAGCUGCCCCGUGGGAGGUGUGUGGCGAGACCGUGACCCCAGGAGUUGAGGAAGCCCCGGGGAUGACGUGGGAAGGGUGAAAUAAGGAAGUGAGUGGGCGGGUGGUUCGCCUGUUUGAAGCAGAGUCACGUGUUCGAAUCCCUGCUUCGUCCGGUGCGGCGAGGCUGGGGAAGGAAGGAGGGAGGCAGAGACGAGCCGGACACGGAGGAGGGAAGGCGUGUGGAGGUGAAGGAGGGGAAGGAUCUGAAGGAGGAACACUUACCAUAACCACAACUACCACCACCACCGCUACCACCACCACCAGCACGAGUCUGCCAAGGUGAUAACGGACAGAGCGAUGCAGCGGGAGGCGGAGCGGGAGAGGGAGAGAGAGAGAGACGCCCGCGGGGUACGACAGAGAGAGACAAGAGGAGGAGAGGAUGAACGCGAGACGGAGAGGAUGUAGUAAGCCCACGACCUGCACUGCUGCGGCCUGGAUGGUGAAGUCUUGCACUUGUUCUGCAGCCCCUAACCCCAACACCUGCACUGCUGCCUGGAUGGAGAAGCCUUGCACACUGCCGUCGGAGUCAGCAGUAGGACAGUUGUCAUUCACUCUGAAAAGAUAGGUAGCAUUUUUAGAUGGUGGUGACCUGUGCUGUCAUGUGUAUCUUGUGUACACUAAAAUAUAUACUUAAGCCAAAGCCA
Molecule: long non-coding RNA, 746 nt
Organism: Eriocheir sinensis (Chinese mitten crab)
Lineage: Eukaryota; Metazoa; Arthropoda; Malacostraca; Decapoda; Varunidae
Exons: 4
Source: RefSeq, a predicted model, not a curated record